Long non-coding RNA from Dicentrarchus labrax (European seabass), 332 nucleotides. RefSeq lists it as uncharacterized. The transcript has 3 exons. Lineage: Eukaryota; Metazoa; Chordata; Actinopteri; Moronidae. The record is from RefSeq and is a predicted model, not a curated record.
ACUGCUCUCACACUGCUCUGCUGGGUACAGGUACUGCUCUAUCGGUACAGGUACUGCUCUAUGGGUACAGGUACUGCUCUAUCGGUACAGGUACUGCUCUAUCGGUACAGGUACUGGUCUAUGGUUACAGGUUCUGGUCUAUGGUUACAGGUUCUGGUCUAUGGUUACAGGUUCUGGUCUAUGGUUACAGGUUCUGGUCUAUGGUUACAGGUACUGGUCUAUGGUUACAGGUUCUGGUCUAUGGUUACAGGUACUGCUCUAUGGUUACAGGUUCUGGUCUAUGGUUACAGGUACUGGUCUAUGGUUACAGGUUCUGGUCUAUGGUUACAGGU